GGGAAGAACAAGGGGGAAACCCUAACCUCAUCUACUAACAUCAAUUUCAGUAAGAUUGUGAAGAAUUCCAGCCAUAAAUUGAAUGAUUGUGCUUAAUUAUCUUCUAAUCCAAGUGUAUUAAGCAUAAGGAUCGAAAGAAGAAGGAGCUAGUUCCGGAUCACAAACAAAAGCACAAGAUCGAGGUAAAGCACCCGUGUGAUUGUCUUUGCGCCGCUCGGAUACGAACACACCUUGAUCACCCAUGAUGCGCUUCCGCAACUUUUGUAGUAACCUUGAUAGUUUAAGGUUUUUGUCAAAGUUAGUAGUGUUGAAGUUUUAUGUUUUAAAUAGAUGUUUGUGAAUACUUAAGUAACUUAGACUCGAUGUUUGAAACGGUAGUCCAAAUGUUAUGGUCUUUCGUAUGGUUUCUUAAAGGUGUCGCUAUUUGAGUAUUUUGUUAUAUUAAAAACAGGGAAGUUGUUCAA
Helianthus annuus (common sunflower) is the source of this 464-nucleotide long non-coding RNA. RefSeq lists it as uncharacterized. The record is from RefSeq and is a predicted model, not a curated record. The transcript is spliced from 3 exons. NCBI's taxonomy places the organism in Eukaryota, Viridiplantae, Streptophyta, Magnoliopsida, Asterales, Asteraceae.